UUUAAUUUUUAUUUGUCCUUAUACCACUACUGACUCCAGUGAAAAAUGCUGGCAGGCGCUGACCACAGGAGAGCUAACCACAAUAACCCCCACCUGAACCGCAGGAGAGCCUCUGAGAGGAGGGCCUGUGCCUUUAAGGCUGAGGAGGUCAGAGAGAGGACAUGACCGGGGUUGGCCCUUGAGCCCUCCCCUGUUCUUGAACGUAUGUUCUGCCCACAGUUCCACAGUGGGAGCCAUUUUCAAGGAUGCGGCCUUGAGUGAGCAAUGUGUUGCUGAGACCAUCUGGACUGAAUAUGUGACUGAACCCAGGGAAGGCCUCUGCAUAGACUGUUAAGAUUCUGGCAGGCAGAUGCAGAGAUCCACUUGUCUUACGGCCGCCCAGGACAAGCCUCGUAUACUACCUCCCACCUUGGAUGUGAACCUGAGGCCCGGGAUGGGGUGGGGAGCCUGCCACUCUUGCCGGCAACCGUUAAGACAAGCAUGAAGAUAAAAUCCAGGAAGCUAAGCAUGGAAGAGGGAAAGCAGACAGAGCCAGGAGCCCUGGGGCAUUGGUGAGCAGCCAGACUGCCCACGCUGGACCUCUGAUUAUCAAAGGGAUGAAUCUCUAUCCUGUGAAGAGCAUAGCUGCUGAUCAUCCCAAAACUGGAGCCAUCUUAAUGUGAACAACAGCUUUCCUCCCCGUAAUGCCCGUGCCAGCCAUUGAGCCACCCAGGAGGAUCUGGGGAGCCCCAAGUCUCCAAAGCAGAAACAAAAGGGAAGACUUGUCCGAGAUUACCUUAGUAAUAAGCAGCUAAUUAUAAUAUUAAUUUGCAUAAUACCCUCCCUUUUAGCAGUGAUUUCACUGCGAAAACCAAGUGGUAUUAAUGAAAAAAAAAUUGUUUCCAGCUGCCUAAGCCCAGAGGCUAAUCCAGGAAUUGAUGCCCUUGCAACAAUGACCAUAAGAUCUCCUUGUGGGCAGAGCCUCUGAAGGCCUGUUUGGGCAGCUAACCCUUCUUUUGAGCGCUCUUUUUUACCUUCAGUGGUUGAGACUGAGGUCUUAAAACUGCUCCUGCCAAUGACAACCAAAGUUACCUGCCAGAGCAGAAAGAAACAAAAGAAAAGGAAAAUCUUAAAUUAUGCGUUCCCUUCUUUAGAAUGGGCCUGUGGUUGGGGGCUGGCAUAUGGGCAUCAGUGGAUGAAACUGGAGAAGGUGGAAGUGUUCAUGUGAAAAAAAAUGGUUCAACAAUUUCUUAUAAAGUUAAACCCUAUGACUCAGCAAAUCUACUCCUGGGUAUGUACCUAUGAGAAAUGAAGCAUAUGUUCACCAAAAGACUUGUAAAAGAAUGUUUGGAGCACUUUAUUUUUCAUAGCCUCAAACUGAAAACAAACCGAAUGUCCAUUACCAGGAGGGUGGAAGAACAUACUGUGGAAUAUUUACGUAAUAAACUAAUAAAAUACAGACAUACACAACUUGGAUGAGCUUUGAAAACAUUAUAUUGAGUGAAAGAAUUCAGAUGCAAAAUAAUUCAUACUGUAUGAUUCCAUUUGCGUGAAGCUCCAGAACAUUCAAGGCUAAUCUAUGGUCAUAGAAAUUAGAACAGUGGUUGCCUCUCGGCAGUGGUGGUAGGAUUGACUGGAAGGGGCAUGAGGGAAAUUUCUGUGGUGCUGGAAAAUUUUAUAUAUCUUGACCAGUGUUAUGGUUACAUGGAUAUAUACGUUUGUUGAAACUCAGCAAAUAGACACUUAAAGCCUAUGCAUUUUAUUGUAUGUAAAUUAUCUCAAAUUGGAAAGAGAAAAAAAUUAAAAUUUUUAUAUUGUUCAUGUUCCUAACUGAUUAAUGUGGCAGCAGUUGGCUCAUUAGCAGAUUGUUGCAGUGUGGAAAAAUUUUGUUCUCAACCCAAUGGUUUGUUUAACUGUGCUCACUGGCAACUCUUAAUCCAUCAAAAGGAUUUUAAGAUCCUAAUAAUUAGUUUUAGCACUGCAAGAGGACAGACAGACACAAUUCACCUUUUUGCCAGGAUUGACAGAUGCUAUUUUGAUAAGCACAGGAACCAUCAGUUCAACUAACCAGCCGUUAGACCAAAGUUGAGUUUAGGUGAGUGGAACCUUCUAAUUUGUUGAGAGUUGACAGGCUGACAGUAAUACACAAACUUUUUCUUGACUCUUCUUCUGUACUAUUUCUACAUCUAAAAUGAUGGCAGACUUAAAUGUGUCUCCACUACACUGUGUGUUUUGCUUCUGCAAGUCACGUCUGGUAGGAACUACCCAGGGCGUUUGGUCCCACCUUGAGCAGAUAUGGUCAGCUAGUCAUCCUCUUAGAGGCAUGAGAAUUAAGGAAAUCCAGGAAUACAAAAGUAGAGGUGUCAGCAAGCUCCAGCUGUGUUUAAAUUCCAGGUUUGUGAGUCUGUGAGUCUCUGGAACCUAAGAGGAGACCUGAAGAUACACACUUAUUCUGUGGACAUGACUGUAACACGAGAGUGGUUUCUCUUUAACACUUAAAAAUGUUUCCAUUUCCUUAUUUAAUAUUUGGCUACAUUUGUCACAGAAAUAAAGUUAUAUAUUUGGAAACUGUAUUGGGCUCUGUAAGAUUUGCUAGGUUAUUUUCUUUUCUGUUUAUUUCAUAAAACCAUUCAUUAGUCUGUUCAGGAGUUCCAUUUGGAAUUGCAGGUGUGAGUUGAAAGCCAGACAUAAACUAAAUUACAGCAUAUACAAAAUGGAUGCCUUACAAGUGGAAAAUGCAUAUUUUCAGCUGACCUGCUCUUCAAGUAACAAUAUGUGAGAGCAAAAUAUUUAGUGUAGACUAUGUAAUAGCCAUCUUCUUAUUUUUAUAAAGCUCCAAAAUUGUAAUCAAAGAGCAUGGAUGAGUUUGAGUAGCAGAGAAAGAGGAAAGGAAGGAAAAUUUGAUCUAGAAGGCAGUUCAUUGAGAAAUAGGUGGGAAGCUUGUGGCAUCUCAGAUGAGCUGUCCUUGCUGGGGUAGAUGGGAGGGUGGGGAGGGAGGAAGUGAAGACAUAGGAGG
Molecule: long non-coding RNA, 2995 nt
Organism: Equus caballus (horse)
Lineage: Eukaryota; Metazoa; Chordata; Mammalia; Perissodactyla; Equidae
Source: RefSeq, a predicted model, not a curated record